RNAcentral lists this long non-coding RNA (17037 nucleotides) under Zea mays. Its description in RNAcentral is "long non-coding RNA (ZMAY_LNC003398)". The record is from RNAcentral. Lineage: Eukaryota; Viridiplantae; Streptophyta; Magnoliopsida; Poales; Poaceae.
GGAGCCCAGGCCCGCCUGUUAGGGGAUGGAAGAAAUAUCACGAACUAUGUGUAGCCUGGGUUAGUACCACCUCGCUUGCGGGAGGGGGCCACGGCCCCCUUAUAAGGGCGAGCUUCAUUCCUCUCUCAACCCGGGUUUUGAGAUGUGAGUGUGGAGCUCGCUGCUGAAGGCCGACCCACGAGCGCAUAAACGCCUGAGACUGACCCAGGUACGCUAACAAAUGGUAACGGAGCUCAGGCCCGCCUGUUUAGGGGAUGGAAUGUCACGAACUAUGUGUAGCCUGGGUUAGUACCACCUCGCUUGCGGGAGGGGGUCGUGGCCGGCUUAUAAGGGCGAGCUUCAUUCCUCUCUCAACCCGGGUUUUGAGAUGUGAGUGUGGAGCUCGCUGCUGAAGGCCGACCCACGAGCGCAUAAACGCCUGAGACUGGCCCAGGUUGUCGGCGUUUCGAGACAGGGGGGUCCCUAAGCCGACGAGUGAGUGUGCUGCGUGCCCCAGCCCAGAUGGGUCGAGCGCGUGGGCGAGCGCGAAGGGGGGAGAGGCGAGGUGGCCGGAGCCGAGCGUGAGAGAGGUGGAAGUUCCGCGGCCUUCGUGUUCGUCCCGCGCCCAGGUCAGGUGCGCUUGCAGUAGGGGGGUUACAAGCGUCCACGCGGGUGAGGGAAGCGAGCGGCCCCAAGAGAGCGCCUGUCCCGUCCUCGGUCCCGCGCGGCCAACCUUCUCUAAGAAGGCCCUGGUCCUCCCUUUUAUAGUCGUAAGGAGAGGAUCCAGGUGUACAAUGGGGGGUGUAGCAGAGUGCUACGUGUCUAGCGGAGGGAGAGCUAGCGCCCUAGGUACAUGCCAAUGUGGCAGCCGGAGAGAUCUGGGCACCCUGCUGGCGUGAUGUCGUGGCUGUCGGAGGUGCGGCGGAGCCUGGUGGAGGGACAGCUGUUGGAGCGGUCGAAUCCCUGCUGACGUCGUCCUGCUUUCGUAAGAGAGCUGGGGGCCGCCGUCGUCAUAGAGCUUGUGGAGCGCCAUCAUUGCCCUCCGGCGGAGCUGGCCGGAUGGGACGCCGGUCUUGUUCUUCGUGACCCGAGUCGAUUCGGGGUAGGAUGAUGAUGGCGCUUCCUGUCGACGUGGCGGUCUGUGCCCUAGGCAGGGCGACGUGGGGGUUCCUCCGAAGCCGAGGUUGAGUCUGCCUUCCGUUGCCGUGGCCGAGCCCGAGCCAUGGGGUCGGGCGAGGCGGAAGUCGUUCGGCCGAGGCCAGGGCGGAGUCCGAGCCCUGGGGUCGGGCGAGGCGGAAGUCGUUCGGCCGAGGCCAGGGCGGAGUCCGAGCCCUGGGGUCGGGCGAGGCGGAAGUUGUUCGGCCGAGGCCAGGGCGGAGUCCGAGCCCUGGGGUCGGGCGAGGCGGAGUUUCGUCGUCUUCCGGGUCUUAGCCCGAGUCCGAGCCCUGGGGUCGGGCGAAGCGGAGUUUCGUCGUCUUCCGGGUCUUAGCCCGAGUCCGAGCCCUGGGGUCGGGCGGAGCGGAGUUUCGUCGUCUUCCGGGUCUUAGCCCGAGUCCGAGCCCUGGGGUCGGGCGGAGCGGAGUUCGCCGUCUUCCGGGUCUUAGCCCGAGUCCGAGCCCUGGGGUCGGGCGGAGCGGAGUUUCGUCGUCUUCCGGGUCUUAGCCCGAGUCCGAGCCCUGGGGUCGGGCGGGGCGGAGUUCGCCGUCUUCCGGGUCUUAGCCCGAGUCCGAGCCCUGGGGUCGGGCGGGGCGGAGUUCGCCGUGGCGCCUUUGGCAAGGCCUACUGCCUGUCAGACUCACUCUGUCGAGUGGCACUGCAGUCGGAGUGGCGCAGGCGGCGCUGUCCUUCUGUCAGACUGGCCAGUGGAGAGGUAGAGUGACGGCGGUCACCUCGGCUCUGCCGGGGGCGCGUGUCAGGAUAGAGGUGUCAGGCCACCUUUGCGUUAAAUGCCCCUGCAAUUUGGUCAGUCGGUGUGGUGAUUUAGUCAAGGUUGCUUCUGAGCGAAGCCAAGGCCUUGGGCGAGCCGGUGAUGUGUCCGCCAUAAAAAGGGGGCCUCGGGCGAGACGGAAGUCUCUCGAGGUCGGCUGCCUUUGGCCGAGGCUAGGCUCGGGUGAAGCGUGAUCGAGUCACUCGUGUGGACUGAUCCCUGACUUAAUCGUACCCAUCAGGCCUUUGCAGCUUUAUGCUGAUGGGGGUUACCAGCUGAGAAUUAGGCGCCUUGAGGGUACCCCUAAUUAUGGUCCCCGACAGUAGCCCCCGAGCCUCGAAGGGAGUGUUAGCACUCGCUUGGAGGCUUUUGUCGCACUUUUUUGCAAGGGGACCAGCCUUUCUCGGUUGCAUUUCGUUCCGGUGGGUGCGCGCGAGCGCACCCGCCGGGUGUAGCCCCCGAGGCCUCGGAGGAGUGGUUACACUCCUUCGAGGUCUUAAUACUUCGCUUAACGCUUCGGCUGGUCUGGUCGUUCCCUCAUGCGAACUGGCCGUAGCCCGGGUGCACGGUCGGGGCCCAAGCUCUCGGGCUGGUAUGUUGACGCUGUCAACGAUUUGGCCGGAGCCGGUUUUUGCGAGAGCAGCCCCCGAGCCUCUGCACAGGGCGAGAGGACGAUCAGGGACAGACUCGGCUUUUUACAUACGCCCCUACAUCGCCUUUCCGCAAGGAGGAGGGGGGAGUGCGCCAUGUUACCCUCGAUGGGCACCGAACAUGGUGUCUCCGGUGAGCUGCAAGCGGGUAAUCCGAGUGGACGUCCGUGCCCCGUUCGUUGGGGGUCGGCUAGGGGCCCAGAGGCACGCCCAAAAGUACCUGCGGGUGAUUUGCCGGACCUGGUCCCCUGGCGACGGGGUCCGAGGGCUCGAUGCCUCCCUCCGAUGGGAUUCCGUUACAAGAUCGUUCCCGCUGGUCUCGGAAAUGUCCUAGGGUACCUCGGGAGCGCAGCCCGAGCCUCGGUUAUGUAUCGAACGUACCCCUGGUCAUCCCUCGCUCGGCGUCUGAGGCGACUGUGAACCCUUCGGGGGCCAGCCUUCGAACCCCUGAUCAGUAAUGGGCACGGAGCCCGAGUAGCCUGAGGCGGCCAUGGAACCCUUCGGGGGGCUGGCCUUCGAACCCCUGACCAGUAGUGGGUGUCGGGCCCACGCGAUCUGAGGCGGCUGUUGAACCCUUCGGAGGGCCAGCCUUCGAACCCCUGAUCAGUAGUGGGGGGCUCGGAGCCCGGUUCCUUCGCGGAGAAGGAUCCCUUUCGGGGUAUCCCCCUUUCCCGGUCCCUGUUGCAAGAGAUAGAGAAAGAGGAAAACGGCAAAGGAUACGAAAUCGGACGACGUGGCGUACCUUUUCUGAAGCGGUUAUUACGGCGAAGGUGAAGCGUCGCGCGCUCCUCCUGCCAGAAGCGCCGCGUGUCCCGCCGCGGAGUUAAUGCGACUGGGCGAGUGGUUGGCGGGGCGGCCGUUACGCGCGUGCGAUCCGUUCGAGGAACGGGUCACGGGUGCACCGUCUCCACGCCGUGAGAGGAGGCUCUCUUGCUGUCCCAGGAUGGGACGUGAGCCUGGCUGACGACGUGACCGCUGCGCCCGCCCGCCUGCCACCGCUAUUACUGCCGGCCCUCUUUCGGUCGCUUUGACCGACGCGCCAGGCUGGCGCUGUUGGGUCGCCUCGAGUCGCGGCAUUGGCUCCGCAACCGAAGAGGCGCGAUGGUGGCACAAGUGGCGGUGCGGUUGCUUGCAUGCAGCAACUGGCGCGCCGGUUGCUCGACGCGUGGGCCUGGGUUCCCAAGCUGGCGUGUCAGAAGUUGGAGAAGCGCGUCCAUCUGGCGCGGUUGCAUGCCGCCUGCAUGGCUGCCCGCCCCUUCUGCCCGUUGGUCUGGGCGGAAAUGGGGGGUCGCUUGUAACCGCUGGACGGUCGUGCGCACCACGCGCGGCGGUUCGGCUUCUUCUGCCCUGAGCCGACUUGCAUGACAUGCGGGACCCAGCCCCCGAGUCGCAGGGGAGGGCCUUGGAGCGUGUUGGAGAAGACUCGGCCCGCGGCGCCUGGGGGCGCACGUAGGGGGAGUUGCCUUUAAAAGGAGGGAGGCUCCUUUCGUAAGGCAACCAUGUCUUCUUCCUCCCUUAAGCGUCGGGUCUUCCCGUCUUCCAAGCCCCCGGAUGGGGGGUAUCCGCCGCCUUUCCGCCUCCUCGUUGGAGGAACGCAACUCCAUGGGAGUUGGUACCUCUCAGCCGUCGUUCGGCUUCAAGGAUUUUCAUUACGCAGCCUGGCCACGCUCCGCCACCGGUGGCCACCCAAGAUGGUGACCUCUAGUUCGACGGUGGGGAAAGCGGGCCAGGCCGCGGCCUCUACUCCUCCCUCGGCCUCAAGGAUUUUCGUCAUCCAGGCCAAGAUGGAAGAUGAGGCGAGUCGGGGGGCCGCCCCCGCGUGGGUCGGCUGCCCUUUUCUUCCCCCCGCGCCCGGGGGUGAAGGGCGUCCUUGAGCCCCACGGAGACUUCCUCCAGCCAUGCCGGGAUAUGUAGGGCGCUAGUGGCCCUGGAUCUCCGUCUCCCUGCCUGAAUGGCUGGUUCUCGUCCUCAGCGGGGGGAGUCCUCCUGCCGUGACACCUGCCCCAAAGCUGCUGCCUAAGCCGCUUCGCUGUCUAGGGCAGGGGUGGUUGUCGUCGCGGUUGGAACGGGCGGCAGUGAGCCGCUCAUCGUUCUUCAGUUACUCCGCAGGCCUUCCCCCUCGGAGGGGGGUUGUUCGUACCUGCGGAGGUGGGAACCGGAGUUCCGUUGGUAGUGGCAUCUCGAAUGCCAGUGUUUUUCGUUCAUUGUGGCUGUCGGGGCCUGAACAUGUAUGUAAUUUCGGCACGGAGCCGUGUUUUUUCCUCAUUUUCGAGCACUAAGUCUCGCCUGUUGAUUAUCUGAACCGCUUUACCAAGCAUGAGUCGCCCCGUGUCAAGGUGACGGGUGAGGUAUCCGUAUCCCGGAGGCGUAGGAAUCCCUCGGCCCGUUCGGCCUUGUUGUCUGGGGUUCCUCUAGCUUAGUUAAAGAGACCCCUCGGCCGCCCUUCGGUGGACCGAGGCCAGGGGUAGCGAUAUCAGUAUGAACAGAGGCGGAGUUGGCUCGAGAAUGGGAACCUGGUUGGCCGGAGCCUAGUCGUGUUGUCCGUCAGCGGAGCCGACGCCAAAGUCGAUCAGUCGAGGCCUCGGGUCGGGCUGGCGCCCUUGGAAGCCGGUUGACCGAGGCCCCAGGGGUAACCGGUUGAGCCGCCUGCUCGGGCCGGAUUCCCGGAGGAGCCCCUGGACCGCGGCGCCGCCCGAGGCUGGGUCGGGCUUUGCUGAAGACGUCGUCGAUGCCGAGGGUGCUACGGCUCCCUUCAGCGUGAAGACCUGAGCCUGCAGGAUCAGAUCAUCUUGUAGCGUGUGCUUUCUGCGGCCACCGAGGCCAGAAGAACACGCCCUCGCCGCGCUCGCGAAGCUGCGUCUUUUUUCCUCUUGUUUCGAGCAUCUGGACUCUGUCGGUAACAGGGAUGUUUGUGUGAGCGAGAGUUGCUUUUCGCGGAAGGGACGAGUGAGGUAUCCGUAUCCCCGAGGCGUGGGAAUCCCUCGGCUCGGUCGGCCUUGCCGCUUACGCGUACUUUCACCCGUCCAUGAGGCCCUGUCCCCGACUUAGUCGAGAAGGCUUGAAGGACUGCUUCGGCAGGAGAGCUUCCGAACGUGAAGACUUGUUCGGUCCACGGAAUCGCUUUAUCCGAGCGCAAGUUACUUAUCGCAGAAGGUGAUGAGUGAGGUAUCCGUAUCCCGGAGGCGUAGGAGUCCCUCGGCUCGGUCAGCCUUGGCUGCUUACGUGUACUCCGUCGUUUCCAGGAUCCGCUUUCCGAAGUAGUCAAGAGGCACGAAAGAAAUCCUGCUAAAAAGAGAUCCUUUUUCGAGGAAAAAUUCGACGCAGAGGGGGUCUCCCCCCUUUAGCCCCCGAGGGAGGGUCGGGCUUCGCCGAGGCUAAGCCGACCCUUCCUUGACGACUAAACUUUGCGUAGGUGCGAGGUAUAUGAACAACUUGAAAACAUCUUAAGGGUAGAAGCGACGUAGCUGUUUGAUGUUCCAAGCGUUGCCGUAGAUCUCGCCUUGAUUGCUGGCCAGCUUGUAUGUUCCGGGCUUCAGAACUUUGGCGAUGACGAAUGGCCCUUCCCAGGGGGGCGUGAGCUUGUGCCUCCCUUGGGCGUCUUGUCGCAGCCGAAGCACCAGGUCGCCCACCUGGAGUUCUCGGGACCGGACCCCUCGGGCGUGGUAGCGUCGCAGGGACUGUUGGUACCGCGCCGAGUGUAGCAAGGCCCUGUCCCGAGCUUCCUCCAGCUGGUCCAGCGAUUCCUCUCGGCUGGCUUGGUUGCUUUGUUCGGUGUAGGCCCUCGCCCUCGGGGAGCCGUAUUCCAGGUCAGUGGGCAAGACAGCUUCAGCCCCGUAGACCAGGAAAAACGGCGUGAAGCCCGUGGCACGACUCGGCGUCGUCCUUAGGCUCCAGACCACCGAGGGGAGUUCCUUCAUCCAUCGCCUGCCGAACUUGUUGAGGUCGUUGUAGAUCCGAGGCUUGAGCCCUUGUAGAAUCAUGCCGUUGGCACGCUCUACCUGCCCAUUCGACAUGGGAUGAGCCACGGCGGCCCAGUCCACCCGGAUAUGGUGAUCUUCGCAAAAAUCCAAGAAUUUUUUGUCGGUGAACUGGGUGCCGUUGUCGGUGAUGAUGGAGUUCGGGACUCCGAAGCGAUGGAUGAUGUUGGUGAAGAAUGCCACCGCCUGCUCGGACCCGAUGCUGUUCAGAGGUCGGACCUCGAUCCACUUGGAGAAUUUGUCGAUGGCGACCAGCAGGUGCGUGUAGCCCCCGGGCGCCUUCUGCAAGGGACCGACGAGGUCCAGACCCCAUACAGCGAAGGGCCAGGUGAUGGGUAUUGUCUGCAGAGCCUGAGCGGGCAGGUGUGUCCGCUUCGCAUAGAAUUGGCACCCUUCGCAGGUGCGGACAAUUCUAGUGGCGUCAGCCACCGCCGUUGGCCAGUAGAAGCCUUGCCGGAAAGCAUUUCCAACAAGGGCUCGGGGUGCUGCGUGGUGGCCGCAAGCCCCCGAGUGUACUUCUUGCAGCAGUUCCCGACCUUCGGCGAUGGAGAUGCAUCGCUGGAGGAUGCCCGAGGGGCUGCGAUGGUAGAGCUCCUCUUCGUCGCCCAGCAAGACGAAUGACUUGGCGCGUCGCGCUACCCGCCGAGCCUCGACUUGGUCGAGGGGUAGCUCUCCUCGACGGAGAUAUUGCAGGUACGGGGCCUGCCAAUCCUGGUCUGGCGCGGCCCCGCUCUGCCCUUCCUCGACGUUCAAUGCCCCGCCCUCGGGGGCUGAGGGUACCUCGGGCUGGGCCGAGGGUGCCUCGGGCUGAACCGAGGGUACCUCGGGCUGAGCCGAGGGUACCUCGGGCUGAGCCGAGGGUACCUCGGGCUGAGCCGAGGGUACCUCAGGCUCGGGCGCGUCGUCGAGCUUGACGGAGGGUUGAUGCAGAUCCCGGGAGAAGACGUCCGGGGGAACUGUCGUUCGCCCCGAGGCUAUCUUAGCCAGCUCGUCUGCGGUUUCGUUGUAGCGCCGAGCGAUGUGGUUGAGCUCGAGCCCGAAGAACUUGUCUUCCAGGCGCCGAACCUCGUCGCAGUAGGCCUCCAUCUUCGGGUCGCGGCAGUGGGAGUUCUUCAUGACUUGGUCGAUGACGAGCUGCGAAUCACCGCGGGCGUCGAGGCGUCUGACCCCUAGCUCGAUGGCGAUCCGCAAUCCGUUGACCAAAGCUUCGUACUCGGCCACAUUGUUGGACGCCGGGAAGUGGAGGCGCAGCACGUAGCGCAAGUGCUUUCCGAGGGGCGAGAUGAAGAGCAGGCCCGCGCCGGCCCCCGUCUUCAUCAGCGACCCGUCGAAAAACAUGGUCCAGAGCUCCGGUUGGAUCGGAGUCGUUGGCAGUUGGGUGUCGACCCAUUCGGCCACGAAAUCCGCCAACACUUAGGACUUGAUGGCCUUCCGAGGGGCGAACGAGAUCGUUUCGCCCAUGAUCUCCACCGCCCACUUUGCGAUCCUGCCCGAGGCCUCUCGGCACUGGAUGAUCUCCCCCAGGGGGAAGGAUGACACCACAGUUACCGGAUGGGACUCGAAGUAGUGUCGUAGCUUCCGCCUUGUCAGGAUCACAGCAUACAGCAGCUUUUGAACUUGUGGGUAGCGGAUCUUAGUCUCGGACAGCACUUCGCUGAUGAAGUAGACCGGCCUCUGAACGGGCAAUGUAUGCCCUUCCUCUUGCCUUUCGACCACAAUCGCGGCGCUAACCACUUGAGUGGUCGCGGCGACGUGGACCAAGAGGGUUUCUCCGUCCGCCGGCGGCACCAAGACUGGCGCCUUUGUAAGGAGCGCCUUCAGGUUGCCGAGGGCUUCCUCGGCCUCGGGGGUCCAAGCGAAACACUCGGCCUUCCUUAAGAGGAGGUACAGAGGCAGACCUCUUUCGCCGAGGCGUGAGAUGAAGCGGCUCAGGGCCGCGAGGCAUCCCAUGACCCCCUGUACCCCUUUUAAGUCCUUGAUGGGUCCCAUGCUGGUGAUGGCCGCAAUCUUCUCCGGGUUGGCUUCGAUGCCUCGCUCGGAGACGAUGAACCCUAGGAGCAUGCCUCGGGGCACCCCGAAGACACACUUCUCAGGAUUAAGCUUGACUCCUUUCGCCUUGAGACACUGGAAUGUCACUUCAAGGUCGGAGAGGAGGUCGGAAGCCUUCCGUGUCUUGACUACGAUGUCAUCGACGUAGGCCUCGACUGUGCGACCGAUGUGUUCGCCGAACACAUGGUUCAUGCACCGCUGGUACGUCGCGCCCGCAUUCCUCAAGCCGAACGGCAUGGUGACAUAGCAGUACAUGCCGAACGGUGUGAUGAAAGAAGUCGCGAGCUGGUCGGACUCUUUCAUCCGAAUCUGGUGAUACCCCGAGUAGGCAUCGAGGAAGGACAGGGUUUCGCACCCAGCAGUGGAAUCCACGAUUUGGUCGAUGCGAGGCAGAGGGUAGGGAACCUUCGGACAUGCUUUGUUGAGACCAGUGUAGUCUACACACAUCCGCCAUUUCCCCCCUUUCUUCCUCACAAGCACAGGGUUGGCAAGCCAUUCAGGAUGGAAUACCUCUUUGAUGAACCCCGCCGCCAUUAGCUUGUGGAUCUCUUCGCCAAUCGCUCUGCGCUUCUCCUCGUCGAAUCGGCGCAGAGGCUGCCUGACGGGUCGGGCUCCGGCCCGAAUAUCCAGCGAGUGCUCGGCGACAUCCCUCGGUACGUCGGGCAUGUCCGAGGGACUCCACGCAAAGACGUCGGCGUUUGCGCGGAGAAAGUCGACGAGCACUGCUUCCUAUUUGGGGUCGAGCCCGGAACCGAUCCGGAUCUGCUUGGUGGUGUCGCCACUGGGGUCGAGGGGGACGGCCUUGACCAUCUCCGCUGGCUCGAAGUUGCCGGCAUGGCGCUUCACGUCUGGGACCUCCUUGGAGAGGUUCUCCAGGUCGGCGAUGAGGGCCUCGGACUCGGCGAGGGCCUCGGCGCACUCCACGCACUCCACGUCGCAUUCGAACGCGUGUUUGUACGUGGGGCCGACGGUGAUGACCCCGUUGGGGCCCGGCAUCUUGAGCUUCAGGUAGGUGUAGUUGGGGACGGCCAUGAACUUCGCGUAGCAUGGCCUCCCUAGCACGGCGUGGUAGGUUCCUCGGAACCCGACCACUUCGAACGUCAGGGUCUCCCUUCGGAAGUUGGAGGGUGUUCCGAAGCAGACUGGGAGGUCGAGUCGCCCGAGGGGCUGGACGCGCUUCCCAGGGAUGAUCCCGUGGAAGGGCGCAGCGCCUGCUCGGACGGAGGACGGAUCGACGCGCAGAAGCUUGAGGGUCUCGGCGUAGAUGAUGUUGAGGCAGCUGCCCCCGUCCAUCAGGACCUUGGUGAGCCUGACAUCGCCGACAACGGGGUCGACGACGAGCGGGUAUUUCCCCGGGCUCGGCACAUGGUCGGGGUGGUCGGCCCGGUCGAAAGUGAUGGGCUUGUCGGACCAGUCUAGGUAGACUGGCGCCGCCACCUUCACCGAGCAGACCUCCCAGCGCUCUUGCUUGUGGUGCCGAGCCGAGGUAUUCGCCGCAUGCCCUCCAUAGAUCAUGAAGCAGUCGCGGACCUCGGGGAACCCCCCUGCUGGGUGAUCUUCGUUCUUGUCGUCGUCGUGGGCCCUGCCACCCUCGGCGGGUGGCCCGGCCCUGUGGAAGUGACGCCGAAGCAUAACGCACUCCUCGAGGGUGUGCUUGACGGGCCCCUGAUGGUAGGGGCACGGCUCCUUGAGCAUCUUGUCGAAGAGGUUCGCACCUCCGGGGGGCUUCCGAGGGUUCUUAUACUCGGCGGCGGCGACAAGGUCCGCGUCGGCGGCGUCGCGUUUCGAUUGCGACUUCUUCUUGCCUUUCUUCUUGGCGCCGCGCGGAGCAGACGCCUCGGGAGCUCCUUCCGAUGGGCGGCCCUGGGGCUGCUUGUCCUUUCGGAAGAUAGCCUCGACCGCCUCCUGGCCGGAGGCGAACUUGGUGGCGAUGUCCAUCAGCUUGCUCGCCCUGGUGGGGGUUUUGCGACCCAGCUUGCUCACCAGGUCGCAGCAAGUGGUGCCGUCGAGGAACGCGCCGAUGACAUCCGAGUCGGUGAUGUUGGGCAGCUCGGUGCGCUGCUUAGAGAAUCGCCGGAUGUAGUCCCGGAGCGACUCCCCCGGCUGUUGCCGGCAGCUUCGAAGGUCCCAGGAAUUCCCGGGGCGCACGUAUGUGCCCUGGAAAUUGCCAGCGAAGGCUUGGACCAAGUCGUCCCAGUUGGAAAUCUGCCCCGGAGGCAGGUGCUCCAACCAGGCGCGAGCAGUGUCGGAGAGGAACAGGGGGAGGUUGCGGAUGAUGAGGUUGUCGUCGUCCGUUCCACCCAGUUGGCAGGCAAGGCGGUAGUCCGCGAGCCACAGUUCCGGUCUCGUUUCCCCCGAGUACUUUGUGAUAGUAGUCGGGGGUCGGAACCGGGUCGGGAAUGGCGCCCGUCGGAUGGCCCGACUGAAGGCCUGCGGACCGGGUGGUUCGGGCGAGGGACUCCGAUCCUCCCCGCUGUCGUAGCGCCCCCCCACGCCUGGGGUGGUAGCCUCGGCGCACCCUUUCGUCGAGGUGAGCCCGACGGUCGCGUCGAUGGUGCUCGUUGCCGAGGUGGCCCGGGGCCGCAGGCGCGGUGUUGCGCGUGCGCCCGGUGUAGACCGAGGCUUCCCGCAUGAAUCGGGAAGUCGCGGCAUGAGGUUCCGAGGGAUAUCCUUGCCUCCGGGAUGCAGUGCUCUCGGCCCGCCGGGCCGCAGCGCCUUCCAGGAGAUUCUUGAGUUCUCCCUGGAUUCGCCGACCCUCGGUGGUUGACGGCUCCGGCAUCGCGCGGAUGAGCAUCGCUGCGGUUGCCAGGUUCUGACCGACCCCGCUGGAUGCGGGCGGCGGCCUGAUCCUGACAUCGUUGGCGACGCGGUGCUGGAGACCUUGGGGCAGAUGACGUAUUUCUCCGGCCAGGGGUUGGCCCACCCAUGCCUGUCCGACGUCCCGACGGAUCGGCUCAAGCGCUCCUGUUCCCUCGUUGAGCCUGGCCUGCGCCUCGCGGACUUGCUCGAGUUGUGGGUCGUAACCCCCCGCCGGAGCGGGGACCACAACUAGCUCCCGUGGGAUGUCGGCGCGAGGCACCGGCCUGGGGAGAUCACCAUCCUCCGGCAUGCCAAGAUGGUUGCCUUCGGUGGGAUCCCCUAGCUCGAUGUGGAAACAUUCGCGGCUUGGGCCGCAGCUCUCGUCGCCAAGGCUGCGGCUUCCAUCGGAACAGUCGGAUAGACAGUAGUCACAUGCGGUCAUGAAGUCCCGCACGGCACUGGGGUUGCCAAGUCCGGAGAAAUCCCAACCGAUGCUGGGAUCGUCAUCUUCCUCGGACCCAGAGGGCCCGUAGGUCGAGACGUCCGUCAGUCGGUCCCAAGGCGACCGCAUACAGAACCUCAGUGGGGUUGCACUCGCCUCAAUGAGAGCGCCCGCCAAAACGAGGUCGUUUGGCGGGUUGAGGCCGAGUCGAAAUGACGCAAGAUGGGAGUUAGUCGUUACCUUUCGGUCGACGAGGAGCGACGUAGUCACAUCGGGGACUGGUUGCGCCGUCAUCUCUGGUUCGAGGGCGACGUCCUGCAGGCUUUCCGCGAGCGCGCCGGCGUCGUCUUCUUGCUCAAGGUCAGCGUGCCGCGGGGGGACGGCGCUCGCCUCCGUCUCGAACGCGAGGUCGACGUCCGGCGUGCCUUCCGUCGGGGCGUCGGGGGCGUCGAUUCGCUCGACGGCCGACGAAGCGCGGCCUCCCGUCUGGCCUUGACGGCUCCGCCUCCUCCUCCGUUGGCGGGGGAGAGAACGGAGCGAGCCCGAAUAUUGCUCUUCCACCACGCGGGGAAGACGUCGUCGAUUCCGCCGCCGGCGGGCGGGUUGUCGGCCGCCAUUGUCGUAGUCGCGCGGCGGUGGAAGAAGUGUCAUGUCGUAGCUGCCGUCGAAGGACAUGAACUCGAGAGUCCCGAAACGAAGCACCGUCCCGGGCCGGAGAGGUUGCUGGAGACUGCCCAUCUGGAGCUUGACGGGGAGCUGUUCGUCAGCACGCAGCCGUGCCCCUACCUGGCGCGCCAACUGUCGGCGUUUCGAGACAGGGGGGUCCCUAAGCCGACGAGUGAGUGUGCUGCGUGCCCCAGCCCAGAUGGGUCGAGCGCGUGGGCGAGCGCGAAGGGGGGAGAGGCGAGGUGGCCGGAGCCGAGCGUGAGAGAGGUGGAAGUCCCGCGGCCUUCGUGUUCGUCCCGCGCCCAGGUCAGGUGCGCUUGCAGUAGGGGGGUUACAAGCGUCCACGCGGGUGAGGGAAGCGAGCGGCCCCAAGAGAGCGCCUGUCCCGUCCUCGGUCCCGCGCGGCCAACCUUCUCUAAGAAGGCCCUGGUCCUCCCUUUUAUAGUCGUAAGGAGAGGAUCCAGGUGUACAAUGGGGGGUGUAGCAGAGUGCUACGUGUCUAGCGGAGGGAGAGCUAGCGCCCUAGGUACAUGCCAAUGUGGCAGCCGGAGAGAUCUAGGCACCCUGCUGGCGUGAUGUCGUGGCUGUCGGAGGUGCGGCGGAGCCUGGUGGAGGGACAGCUGUUGGAGCGGUCGAAUCCCUGCUGACGUCGUCCUGCUUUCGUAAGAGAGCUGGGGGCCGCCGUCGUCAUAGAGCUUGUGGAGCGCCAUCAUUGCCCUCCGGCGGAGCGGGCCGGAUGGGACGCCGGUCUUGUUCUUCGUGACCCGAGUCGAUUCGGGGUAGGAUGAUGAUGGCGCUUCCUGUCGACGUGGCGGUCUGUGCCCUAGGCAGGGCGACGUGGGGGUUCCUCCGAAGCCGAGGUUGAGUCUGCCUUCCGUUGCCGUGGCCGAGCCCGAGCCAUGGGGUCGGGCGAGGCGGAAGUCGUUCGGCCGAGGCCAGGGCGGAGUCCGAGCCCUGGGGUCGGGCGAGGCGGAAGUCGUUCGGCCGAGGCCAGGGCGGAGUCCGAGCCCUGGGGUCGGGCGAGGCGGAAGUCGUUCGGCCGAGGCCAGGGCGGAGUCCGAGCCCUGGGGUCGGGCGAGGCGGAAGUUGUUCGGCCGAGGCCAGGGCGGAGUCCGAGCCCUGGGGUCGGGCGAGGCGGAGUUUCGUCGUCUUCCGGGUCUUAGCCCGAGUCCGAGCCCUGGGGUCGGGCGAAGCGGAGUUUCGUCGUCUUCCGGGUCUUAGCCCGAGUCCGAGCCCUGGGGUCGGGCGGAGCGGAGUUUCGUCGUCUUCCGGGUCUUAGCCCGAGUCCGAGCCCUGGGGUCGGGCGGAGCGGAGUUCGCCGUCUUCCGGGUCUUAGCCCGAGUCCGAGCCCUGGGGUCGGGCGGAGCGGAGUUUCGUCGUCUUCCGGGUCUUAGCCCGAGUCCGAGCCCUGGGGUCGGGCGGGGCGGAGUUCGCCGUCUUCCGGGUCUUAGCCCGAGUCCGAGCCCUGGGGUCGGGCGGGGCGGAGUUCGCCGUGGCGCCUUUGGCAAGGCCUACUGCCUGUCAGACUCACUCUGUCGAGUGGCACUGCAGUCGGAGUGGCGCAGGCGGCGCUGUCCUUCUGUCAGACUGGCCAGUGGAGCGGUAGAGUGACGGCGGUCACCUCGGCUCUGCCGGGGGCGCGUGUCAGGAUAGAGGUGUCAGGCCACCUUUGCGUUAAAUGCCCCUGCAAUUUGGUCAGUCGGUGUGGUGAUUUAGUCAAGGUUGCUUCUGAGCGAAGCCAAGGCCUUGGGCGAGCCGGUGAUGUGUCCGCCAUAAAAAGGGGGCCUCGGGCGAGACGGAAGUCUCUCGAGGUCGGCUGCCUUUGGCCGAGGCUAGGCUCGGGUGAAGCGUGAUCGAGUCACUCGUGUGGACUGAUCCCUGACUUAAUCGUACCCAUCAGGCCUUUGCAGCUUUAUGCUGAUGGGGGUUACCAGCUGAGAAUUAGGCGCCUUGAGGGUACCCCUAAUUAUGGUCCCCGACAAGGUACGCUAACAAAUGGUAACGGAGCUCAGGCCCGCCUGUUUAGGGGAUGGAAUGUCACGAACUAUGUGUAGCCUGGGUUAGUACCACCUCUCUUGCGGGAGUGGGCCGUGGUCGGCUUAUAAGGGCGUGCUUCAUUCCUCUCUCAACCCGGGUUUUGAGAUGUGAGUGUGGAGCUCGCUGCUGAAGGCCGACCCACGAGCGCAUGAACGCCCGAACGCAUGUCGAGUGUGGGUUUUUCGGUGGACUGGUCCAGGUACGCUAACAAAUGGUAACAUAGCUCAGGCCCGCCUGUUUAGGGGAUGCAAUGUCACGAACUAUGUGUAGCCUGGGUUAGUACCACCUCGCUUGCGGGAGGGGGCCGUGGCCGGCUUAUAAGGGCGAGCUAAUUCCUCUCUCAACCCGGGUUUUGAGAUGUGAGUGUGGAGCUCGCUGCUGAAGGCCGACCCACGAGCGCAUAAACGCCUGAGACUGGCUCAGGUACGCUAACAAAUGGUAACGGAGCUCAGGCCCGCCUGUUUAGGGGAUGGAAUGUCACGAACUAUGUGUAGCCUGGGUUAGUACCACCUCGCUUGCGGGAGGGGGCCGUGGUCGGCUUAUAAGGGCGAGCUUCAUUCCUCUCUCAACCCGGGUUUUGAGAUGUGAGUGUGGAGCUCGCUGCUGAAGGCCGACCCACGAGCGCAUGAACGCCCGAACGCAUGUCGAGUGUGGGUUUUUCGGUGGACUGGUCCAGGUACGCUAAUGUCGGGGACCAUAAUUAGGGGUACCCUCAAGGCGCCUAAUUCUCAGCUGGUAACCCCCAUCAGCAUAAAGCUGCAAAGGCCUGAUGGGCACGAUUAAGUCAGGGAUCAGUCCACACGAGUGACUCGAUCACGCUUCACCCGAGCCUAGCCUCGGCCAAAGGCAGCCGACCUCGAGAGACUUCCGUCUCGCCCGAGGCCCCCUUUUUAUGGCGGACACAUCACCGGCUCGCCCAAGGCCUUGGCUUCGCUCAGAAGCAACCUUGACUAAAUCACCACACCGACUGACCAAAUUGCAGGGGCAUUUAACGCAAAGGUGGCCUGACACCUCUAUCCUGACACGCGCCCCCGGCAGAGCCGAGGUGACCGCUGUCACUCUACCGCUCCACUGGCCAGUCUGACAGAAGGACAGCGCCGCCUGCGCCACUCCGACUGCAGUGCCACUCGACAGAGUGAGUCUGACAGGCAGUAGGCCUUGCCAAAGGCGCCACGGCGAACUCCGCCCCGCCCGACCCCAGGGCUCGGACUCGGGCUAAGACCCGGAAGACGGCGAACUCCGCCCCGCCCGACCCCAGGGCUUGGACUCGGGCUAAGACCCGGAAGACGGCGAACUCCGCCCCGCCCGACCCCAGGGCUCGGACUCGGGCUAAGACCCGGAAGACGGCGAACUCCGCUCCGCCCGACCCCAGGGCUCGGACUCGGGCUAAGACCCGGAAGACGACGAAACUCCGCUUCGCCCGACCCCAGGGCUCGGACUCGGGCUAAGACCCGGAAGACGACGAAACUCCGCCUCGCCCGACCCCAGGGCUCGGACUCCGCCCUGGCCUCGGCCGAACAACUUCCGCCUCGCCCGACCCCAGGGCUCGGACUCCGCCCUGGCCUCGGCCGAACGACUUCCGCCUCGCCCGACCCCAGGGCUCGGGCUCGGCCACGGCAACGGAAGGCAGACUCAACCUCGGCUUCGGAGGAACCCCCACGUCGCCCUGCCUAGGGCACAGACCGCCACGUCGACAGGAAGCGCCAUCAUCAUCCUACCCCGAAUCGACUCGGGUCACGGAGAACAAGACCGGCGUCCCAUCCGGCCAGCUCCGCCGGAGGGCAAUGAUGGCGCUCCACAAGCUCUAUGACGACGGCGGCCCCCAGCUCUCUUACGGAAGCAGGACGACGUCAGCAGGGAUUCGACCGCUCCAACAGCUGUCCCUCCACCAGGCUCCGCCGCACCUCCGACAGCCACGACAUCACGCCAGCAGGGUGCCCAGAUCUCUCCGGCUGCCACAUUGGCAUGUACUUAGGGCGCUAGCUCCCCCUCCGCUAGACACGUAGCACUCUGCUACACCCCCCAUUGUACACCUGGAUCCUCUCCUUACGACUAUAAAAGGGAGGACCAGGGCCUUCUUAGAGAAGGUUGGUCGCGCGGGACCGAGGACGGGACAGGCGCUCUCUUGGGGCCGCUCGCUUCCCUCACCCGCGUGGACGCUUGUAACCCCCCUACUGCAAGCGCACCUGACCUGGGCGCGGGACGAACACGAAGGCCGCGGGACUUCCACCUCUCUCACGCUCGGCUCCGGCCACCUCGCCUCUCCCCCCUUCGCGCUCGCCCACGCGCUCGACCCAUCUGGGCUGGGGCACGCAGGACACUCACUCGUCGGCUUAGGGACCCCGCUGUCUCGAAACGCCGACAGCUAACAAAUGGUAACGGAGCUCAGGCCCGCCUGUUUAGGGGAUGGAAUGUCACGAACUAUGUGUAGCCUGGGUUAGUACCACCUCGCUUGCGGGAGGGGGGCGUGGCCGGCUUAUAAGGGCGAGCUUCAUUCCUCUCUCAACCCGG